GCGACCAUGGCGCACUCGGCAGCGCGUAAGUCUCAUAAUCUUAAGGUCGUGAGUUCGUGAGUUCGAGCCUCACUGGUCGCA
Non-coding RNA from Symsagittifera roscoffensis, 81 nucleotides. Lineage: Eukaryota; Metazoa; Xenacoelomorpha; Acoela; Convolutidae. The record is from the annotation of a RefSeq genome assembly.